RNAcentral lists this ribosomal RNA (1284 nucleotides) under Escherichia coli. RNAcentral's name for it is "partial 23S ribosomal RNA". It matches the Rfam family "Bacterial large subunit ribosomal RNA", at positions 165 to 1492 of the family's 2925-position model. Lineage: Bacteria; Pseudomonadati; Pseudomonadota; Gammaproteobacteria; Enterobacterales; Enterobacteriaceae. The record is from RNAcentral.
CAUAGGUUAAUGAGGCGAACCGGGGGAACUGAAACAUCUAAGUACCCCGAGGAAAAGAAAUCAACCGAGAUUCCCCCAGUAGCGGCGAGCGAACGGGGAGCAGCCCAGAGCCUGAAUCAGUAUGUGUGUUAGUGGAAGCGUCUGGAAAGGCGCGCGAUACAGGGUGACAGCCCCGUACACAAAAAUGCACAUGCUGUGAGCUCGAUGAGUAGGGCGGGACACGUGGUAUCCUGUCUGAAUAUGGGGGGACCAUCCUCCAAGGCUAAAUACUCCUGACUGACCGAUAGUGAACCAGUACCGUGAGGGAAAGGCGAAAAGAACCCCGGCGAGGGGAGUGAAAAAGAACCUGAAACCGUGUACGUACAAGCAGUGGGAGCACGCUUAGGCGUGUGACUGCGUACCUUUUGUAUAAUGGGUCAGCGACUUAUAUUCUGUAGCAAGGUUAACCGAAUAGGGGAGCCGAAGGGAAACCGAGUCUUAACUGGGCGUUAAGUUGCAGGGUAUAGACCCGAAACCCGGUGAUCUAGCCAUGGGCAGGUUGAAGGUUGGGUAACACUAACUGGAGGACCGAACCGACUAAUGUUGAAAAAUUAGCGGAUGACUUGUGGCUGGGGGUGAAAGGCCAAUCAAACCGGGAGAUAGCUGGUUCUCCCCGAAAGCUAUUUAGGUAGCGCCUCGUGAAUUCAUCUCCGGGGGUAGAGCACUGUUUCGGCAAGGGGGUCAUCCCGACUUACCAACCCGAUGCAAACUGCGAAUACCGGAGAAUGUUAUCACGGGAGACACACGGCGGGUGCUAACGUCCGUCGUGAAGAGGGAAACAACCCAGACCGCCAGCUAAGGUCCCAAAGUCAUGGUUAAGUGGGAAACGAUGUGGGAAGGCCCAGACAGCCAGGAUGUUGGCUUAGAAGCAGCCAUCAUUUAAAGAAAGCGUAAUAGCUCACUGGUCGAGUCGGCCUGCGCGGAAGAUGUAACGGGGCUAAACCAUGCACCGAAGCUGCGGCAGCGACGCUGAUGCGUUGUUGGGUAGGGGAGCGUUCUGUAAGCCUGCGAAGGUGUGCUGUGAGGCAUGCUGGAGGUAUCAGAAGUGCGAAUGCUGACAUAAGUAACGAUAAAGCGGGUGAAAAGCCCGCUCGCCGGAAGACCAAGGGUUCCUGUCCAACGUUAAUCGGGGCAGGGUGAGUCGACCCCUAAGGCGAGGCCGAAAGGCGUAGUCGAUGGGAAACAGGUUAAUAUUCCUGUACUUGGUGUUACUGCGAAGGGGGGACGGAGAAGGCUAUGUUGGCC